GCCCAGAGAAAUUUGGAUUAAUACCCCAUAGUAUUUUCAGAUGGCCUCAUUUGAUUAUUAAAGUUCCAACGGUACAAGAUGAGCAUGCGUCCCAUUAGCUAGUUGGUGUGGUAACGGCAUACCAAGGCAACGAUGGGUAGGGGUCCUGAGAGGGAGAUCCCCCACACUGGUACUGAGACACGGACCAGACUCCUACGGGAGGCAGCAGUGAGGAAUAUUGGUCAAUGGGCGCAAGCCUGAACCAGCCAUGCCGCGUGCAGGAUGACGGUCCUAUGGAUUGUAAACUGCUUUUGUACAGGAAGAAACCCUCCCUUGUAAGGGAGCUUGACGGUACUGUAAGAAUAAGGAUCGGCUAACUCCGUGCCAGCAGCCGCGGUAAUACGGAGGAUCCAAGCGUUAUCCGGAAUCAUUGGGUUUAAAGGGUCCGUAGGCGGUUUUAUAAGUCAGUGGUGAAAUCUGGUCGCUCAACGAUCAAACGGCCAUUGAUACUGUAAGACUUGAAUUACUUGGAAGUAACUAGAAUAUGUAGUGUAGCGGUGAAAUGCUUAGAGAUUACAUGGAAUACCGAUUGCGAAGGCAGGUUACUACGAGUAUAUUGACGCUGAUGGACGAAAGCGUGGGGAGCGAACAGGAUUAGAUACCCUGGUAGUCCACGCCGUAAACGAUGGAUACUAGCUGUUUGGAGCAAUCUGAGUGGCUAAGCGAAAGUGAUAAGUAUCCCACCUGGGGAGUACGCUCGCAAGAGUGAAACUCAAAGGAAUUGACGUGGGCCCGCACAAGCGGAGGAGCAUGUGGUUUAAUUCGAUGAUACGCGAGGAACCUUACCAAGGCUUAAAUGGGAAACGACAGAUUUGGAAACAGAUCUUUCUUCGGACGUUUUUCAAGGUGCUGCAUGGUUGUCGUCAGCUCGUGCCGUGAGGUGUCAGGUUAAGUCCUAUAACGAGCGCAACCCCUGUUGCUAGUUGCCAGCGAGUCAUGUCGGGAACUCUAGCUAGACUGCCGGUGCAAACCGCGAGGAAGGUGGGGAUGACGUCAAAUCAUCACGGCCCUUACGCCUUGGGCUACACACGUGCUACAAUGGACGGUACAGAGAGCAGCCACUACGCAAGUAGGAGC
RNAcentral lists this ribosomal RNA (1116 nucleotides) under Flavobacterium columnare. Its description in RNAcentral is "bacterial SSU rRNA". It matches the Rfam family "Bacterial small subunit ribosomal RNA", at positions 146 to 1268 of the family's 1533-position model. Lineage: Bacteria; Pseudomonadati; Bacteroidota; Flavobacteriia; Flavobacteriales; Flavobacteriaceae. The record is from RNAcentral.